GAUGAAGAACGUAGUGAAAUGCGAUACUUGGUGUGAAUUGCAGAAUCCCGUGAACCAUCGAGUCUUUGAACGCAAGUUGCGCCCGAAGCCAUUAGGCCGAGGGCACGCCUGCCUGGGCGUCACACGUCGUUGCCCCCCCAUCUACUCCUUCGGGAUUGCGGGGGGCGGAUGAUGGCCUCCCGUGCGCCUCGUCGCGCGGUUGGCAUAAAUGCCAAGUCCUCGGCGACGCACGCCACGACAAUCAGUGGUUGCGAAACCUCGGUUGCCCGUCGUGUGCGGUCGUCGCGCAUCGAGGGCUCGAAAAAAUUGCCGGGCUCCGGCUCGGCUUUCAACGCGACCCCAGGUCAGGCGGGGUUACCCGCUGAAUUUAAGCAUAUCAAUAAGCGGAGGA
This 391-nucleotide unclassified non-coding RNA is filed under the name soil metagenome. Its description in RNAcentral is "partial contains 5.8S ribosomal RNA, internal transcribed spacer 2, and large subunit ribosomal RNA". The stretch from base 1 to 122 matches the Rfam family "5.8S ribosomal RNA", at positions 35 to 154 of the family's 154-position model. The record is from RNAcentral.